AGUCGAGUGAUGUUGCGCGGAAAAUUCAACGGGGCUAAGCAUACAACCGAAGCUUGGGCAGUAGUAAUACUGGGUAGGGGAGCGUUCUGUACGGGCAGAAGCAUCAGCGGAAGCAGAUGUGGACUGUACAGAAGUGAGAAUGCCGGAAUGAGUAGCGAGAAUUGUGUGAGAAUCAUAAUGGCCGAAAAUCUAAGGUUUCCGGGGGUAGGGUCGUCCACCCCGGGUUAGCCGGGAGCUAAGGCGAGGCCGCGAGGCGUAGUCGAUGCACAAACGGUAGAGAUUCCGUUGCCGCCAGAUCUUAAGUAACUGACACGAGGGUAGAGUUCAACCCGGCCGAUGGUAGAGCCGGGCGAAAGGGACUGAAGAAUAGUAGGGAAGUGAACGAAGCCAGCGGCGAGAAAAGGUUAUGUAUGAAAUCAGGCGCCCGUACCGCAAACCGACACAGGUAGAUGAGGAGAGGAUCCUAAGGCCAGCGGGAGAAGGGUUGUUAAGGAACUCGGCAUAUUGACCCCGUAACUUCGGAAGAAGGGGUGCCUCCGUAAGGAGGCCGCAGUGAAAAGGCCCAGGCAACUGUUUAUCAAAAACACAGGUUUCUGCAAAAGCGAAAGCUGAAGUAUAGGAGCUGACGCCUGCCCGGUGCUGGAAGGUCAAGGGGAUCGCUUAGCGCAAGCGAAGGCGAGAACUUAAGCCCCAGUAAACGGCGGCCGUAACUAUAACGGUCCUAAGGUAGCGAAAUUCCUUGCCAGGUAAGUUCUGGCCUGCACGAAUGGCGUAAUGAUCUGGGCACUGUCUCAACAGCCCGCCCGGCGAAAUUGUAGUACCGGUGAAGAUGCCGGUUUCCUGCGACUAGACGGAAAGACCCCAUGGAGCUUUACUGUAGUCUGAUACUGAAAUUUGGUUCAUUAUGCACAGGAUAGGUGGGAGACAGAGAAACCCGGGCUUUGGCUUGGGCGGAGUCGCCGUUGGGAUACCACUCUUGAUGAACCAAGUUUCUAACCUGCUCCCGUGAUCCGGGAGGGGGACAAUGUCAGAUGGGCAGUUUGACUGGGGCGGUCGCCUCCAAAAGAGUAACGGAGGCGUUCAAAGGUUGGCUCAGCGCGGACGGAAAUCGCGCAAUGAGUAUAAACGUAUAAGCCAGCCUAACUGUGAGACCUACAAGUCGAGCAGUAACGAAAGUUGGAGUUAGUGAUCAGGUGGUAGUGAGUGGAAAUGCCAUCGCUUAACGGAUAAAAGCUACCCUGGGGAUAACAGGCUGA
This 1256-nucleotide ribosomal RNA is filed under the name human gut metagenome. Its description in RNAcentral is "bacterial LSU rRNA". It matches the Rfam family "Bacterial large subunit ribosomal RNA", at positions 1147 to 2485 of the family's 2925-position model. The record is from RNAcentral.